Molecule: long non-coding RNA, 662 nt
Organism: Medicago truncatula (barrel medic)
Lineage: Eukaryota; Viridiplantae; Streptophyta; Magnoliopsida; Fabales; Fabaceae
Exons: 3
Source: RefSeq, a predicted model, not a curated record
AUAUUUUUUUUUUUAAAAAAUUAGAUCUCAUCAACUCUUCAAAGCCAAUCACCUAAUCCCUUCCACAAACUAAAAAAUCCUUCAUCUUCAUCCCUCCUCCAAAUUCUCUCAUCAUCAACAACACAACACGGAAUCAACAAACAACAUUCGCGUUUUUAAUUUCAGUAUCGCUGGCAACAUAUCUAACGAGAAAGGAGGGUAGAAGAUAACAAGUGAAAAUGCACUACAACUUUGGAUCUAGAAUUGAAUCCAUGGCCGCACUGAGGCAACACUCGGAUUUCAUCUUCAACGGAGAAUUCGCUUAAACAAAUAGUGUAAUAGAAUUUCACGGCGUAUUCCUCUGUUGUUGUAAGCUUUGGAAGAGAGAGGAGAACCUUCUUCUUGACGCCUCUGUGGUUGAAGAGAGACGAGGAUGAUGACGAAAUCAGAAUUAAUGACGGUGGAGUCAGGUUGGUUAUUGGCAUGGAAACUGGUGUUGGUUCACGUUCCUUUGUACAAGAGAUUUUUAGUCCAAAAAAAAACUAUUUGAUCUAAGCUCCAAAUUGGUCGUCUUUCCAAAAUUUACAACAACCUUAAUAAUCCCCCAAUUUCAUCUUCCACUUAGAAAAAAAAGGGUAUAUUUGUUGUUCCUUGGUAUAUUUGAGAUGAUGAAGAUGAAGAGG